UACGUAGGGUGCGAGCGUUAAUCGGAAUUACUGGGCGUAAAGCGUGCGCAGGCGGUUCGUUGUGUCGGCGGGGAAAGCCCCGGGCUCAACCUGGGAAUUGCAUUUGAUACUCUGGAGCUUGAGUACGGGAGAGGAGAGUGGAAUUCCCAGUGUAGAGGUGAAAUUCGUAGAUAUCGGGAGGAACACCGGUGGCGAAGGCGGCGAUCUGGGUCGAUACUGACGCUGAGGUGCGAAAGCGUGGGGAGCAAACAGG
Molecule: ribosomal RNA, 253 nt
Filed under: uncultured bacterium
Lineage: Bacteria
Description: partial 16S ribosomal RNA
Rfam family: Bacterial small subunit ribosomal RNA
Source: RNAcentral